CGGCCGAGUACACCGGGAGGUAGCCGGACUUCCGGUCCGGCGUGCUGUCGGCGUACGCCAUGCCGUCGUCCGU
This 73-nucleotide transfer RNA is filed under the name Streptomyces naganishii JCM 4654. RNAcentral's name for it is "tRNA-Gly". The record is from RNAcentral. Lineage: Bacteria; Bacillati; Actinomycetota; Actinomycetes; Kitasatosporales; Streptomycetaceae.